CUGCAAGGAUUUCAACAAAAGCUGGCCAUGGUGCCUCCACUCUGCUCCACUCUCCAUUCCAUCCCCCUGAGCAGAUCCUGCUUCAUAUUACCCAGUUGCUCAGGAACUCAUUUACCAGCGGGAUGGGUUUUCAUGGACAGAGGUGUGACGAGCUGGGCUGCCACUGGUUGCAGUGGCAUUACCGAGUGUGUUUCAAGACAACAGCAGCUGGAAACCCCGUUCCCCACUGCUGGAGCAGAGUGACCUGCAAAGGGAGGCUGGUGCACAGAGAAGGGGCUCCCACAGCCACUGACUUCCUGUCAGUACAGUCUUGGAAGGGAAAAGUAGCAAGGGCAGGCUGUGCUGAGCUCCCUCUCCCAUGCCCUGCCCUUCUUACAUGACCAAGGUGCAGGAAGAGUCACUCUGGCUGCCCUCCUCCUUCUCCUGGUUCCUCUUGGCUGUUGGCACAUCCUGGGAAGAGGAAGCUGUGGUGGGAGGAAGACUUGGUUCAGAGGCUGACAGCAGACCGGGCUAGACCAGGCAGUGGGAAGAGGUGUGAGGAGAAGCACAGGAGAGAAGAGGCCCAGGCUAACAGUCCAGGUUGAGAUGUUCAGCCAUCCAUUUGAACACUUCAUCCUGCUGCCCACACCUGACACUCUGCUUUGGCCUCCACGCUUCAAUUACCUAUGUCUUUGCUGAACAGCACCUAAGGGAGGAAGUCAGUGAUGCAGACUUUGCUGACAAGCCAGGGACCUCAUGUCAGCAACUUCUGCUGCUGUCUGCACCUGUCCCUGUGCACAGAAAAGAGAAGAAUUGGUUGGCCAUGAGCAACGCAAAACUUCAAGGCUCUGGGCUCUUGCCAGAGGAGCAGCCACUGUCCUCAGAGAAACUUUAACAUUUCAACAUGUAUUUUUGUUCACUUCAAUGAAAUGAAAAAAUAAAAUACUGAAAGGUUUUGUGUAACAAGGUAGUCCAAACUGUUUUGGUUAGGGAUAGUUGAAACAUAAAGUUUAUUUUAUAGCAUGACAGUUUAUAUAAAGUGAAGAAAAUGGAAUCCAGCAUAAUAAAACUACUUGAAAUAAAACA
Long non-coding RNA from Pseudopipra pipra, 1065 nucleotides. RefSeq lists it as uncharacterized. Lineage: Eukaryota; Metazoa; Chordata; Aves; Passeriformes; Pipridae. The transcript has 2 exons. The record is from RefSeq and is a predicted model, not a curated record.